This 127-nucleotide microRNA precursor is filed under the name Myotis lucifugus (little brown bat). Its description in RNAcentral is "mir-9193 microRNA precursor family". It matches the Rfam family "mir-9193 microRNA precursor family". The record is from Rfam by way of RNAcentral. Lineage: Eukaryota; Metazoa; Chordata; Mammalia; Chiroptera; Vespertilionidae.
AGUGCACUGGUGGGGUCCCUCGGCCUGGCCUGUGCCCUCUCGCAAUCUGGGACCCUUCAGGGGAUGUUGGAGAGCCGGUUUCGGCCCGAUCGCCACAGACCAGGCCGAGGGACCCCACCAGUGCACG